Molecule: ribosomal RNA, 283 nt
Filed under: uncultured prokaryote
Description: partial 16S ribosomal RNA
Rfam family: Bacterial small subunit ribosomal RNA
Source: RNAcentral
UACGUAGGGGGCGAGCGUUGUCCGGAAUUAUUGGGCGUAAAGGGUUCGCAGGCGGUUUUUUAAGUCAGAGGUGAAAGGCUACGGCUCAACCGUAGUAAGCCUUUGAAACUGGGAAACUUGAGUGCAGGAGAGGAGAGUGGAAUUCCUAGUGUAGCGGUGAAAUGCGUAGAUAUUAGGAGGAACACCAGUUGCGAAGGCGGCUCUCUGGACUGUAACUGACACUGAGGCACGAAAGCGUGGGGAGCAAACAGGAUUAGAUACCCCCGUAGUCCCUGAGCGGGCU